AAAUAAGAAGCAAACAUUGCAGCCAGUUUCGACCUGACCUUAGAUAAAUUAUAUCCUUAUUUA
Molecule: transfer RNA, 63 nt
Filed under: Stolotermes victoriensis
Lineage: Eukaryota; Metazoa; Arthropoda; Insecta; Blattodea; Termopsidae
Description: tRNA-Arg
Source: RNAcentral